This 139-nucleotide ribosomal RNA is filed under the name uncultured bacterium. Its description in RNAcentral is "partial 16S ribosomal RNA". It matches the Rfam family "Bacterial small subunit ribosomal RNA", at positions 355 to 507 of the family's 1533-position model. The record is from RNAcentral.
UGGGGAAUAUUGCACAAUGGGCGAAAGCCUGAUGCAGCAACGCCGCGUGAGGGAUGACGGCUUCGGGUUGUAAACCUCUUUUAGCAGGGAAGAAGCGAAAGUGACGGUACCUGCAGAAAAAGCGCCGGCUAACUACGUG